This 562-nucleotide ribosomal RNA is filed under the name Bacillus amyloliquefaciens. RNAcentral's name for it is "bacterial SSU rRNA". It matches the Rfam family "Bacterial small subunit ribosomal RNA", at positions 89 to 635 of the family's 1533-position model. The record is from RNAcentral. Lineage: Bacteria; Bacillati; Bacillota; Bacilli; Caryophanales; Bacillaceae.
AUGUUAGCGGCGGACGGGUGAGUAACACGUGGGUAACCUGCCUGUAAGACUGGGAUAACUCCGGGAAACCGGGGCUAAUACCGGAUGGUUGUCUGAACCGCAUGGUUCAGACAUAAAAGGUGGCUUCGGCUACCACUUACAGAUGGACCCGCGGCGCAUUAGCUAGUUGGUGAGGUAACGGCUCACCAAGGCGACUAUGCGUAGCCGACCUGAGAGGGUGAUCGGCCACACUGGGACUGAGACACGGCCCAGACUCCUACGCGGAGGCAGCAGUAGGGAAUCUUCCGCAAUGGACGAAAGUCUGACGGAGCAACGCCGCGUGAGUGAUGAAGGUUUUCGGAUCGUAAAGCUCUGUUGUUAGGGAAGAACAAGUGCCGUUCAAAUAGGGCGGCACCUUGACGGUACCUAACCAGAAAGCCACGGCUAACUACGUGCCAGCAGCCGCGGUAAUACGUAGGUGGCAAGCGUUGUCCGGAAUUAUUGGGCGUAAAGGGCUCGCAGGCGGUUUCUUAAGUCUGAUGUGAAAGCCCCCGGCUCAACCGGGGAGGGUCAUUGGAAACUG